ACAAUAACUCCGCCUGUAGCUCUUAUACGGUUACUGCCGGUCCCAAGCCCGGGUAAAGGAGGAGGGUUGG
Schistosoma mattheei is the source of this 70-nucleotide non-coding RNA. The record is from Rfam. NCBI's taxonomy places the organism in Eukaryota, Metazoa, Platyhelminthes, Trematoda, Strigeidida, Schistosomatidae.